CAAAUUUUUAAAUAUUUUCCUUUACAUUUUAAGUUACAAGUGGUAAUUUGAAGAAAGAAAAAGUAAAGCAACAGUAUUUUGAGACGAAAUAGAAAAAAAACGUUGACUUAUUGUUGAAUAAGGGAUAAUAAAAGAAGAGAAUAUUUUUAUUGAAA
RNAcentral lists this long non-coding RNA (155 nucleotides) under Polistes fuscatus (common paper wasp). RNAcentral's name for it is "uncharacterized LOC122522374". The record is from RNAcentral. Lineage: Eukaryota; Metazoa; Arthropoda; Insecta; Hymenoptera; Vespidae.